GCACCUGAUUCCGAGGCAU
This 19-nucleotide unclassified non-coding RNA is filed under the name Dictyostelium discoideum. The record is from RNAcentral. Lineage: Eukaryota; Evosea; Eumycetozoa; Dictyosteliales; Dictyosteliaceae.